This 7418-nucleotide unclassified non-coding RNA is filed under the name Daphnia pulex (common water flea). RNAcentral's name for it is "unconventional myosin-IXb-like, transcript variant X3". Lineage: Eukaryota; Metazoa; Arthropoda; Branchiopoda; Diplostraca; Daphniidae. The record is from RNAcentral.
UCCCCACAGGAGAGGGAGGGAAACGUCAGUCAGUAGUCCCGAGAACUCACGAGAGUUUGUGUGUGUGUACAGUGAAUGUGUGUGUAUAUGCUGGCAGUGAAGAACCCUUCCUUCAUUUUUAGAUUUUCUUCUUUUUUUUUCUCGAAUCGACGUUGUUUUCCCUCUUGUUUGUUAUUUUCUCUCUUUUAACUGGAUCGACGAGGCCGAUGACGUUUUAAUGGAGGUCUCGUCUGCAAGGCUGGGUGCAAGUGUGUGGCCUUAAAGAACGCACAUGGGCCACAUCAUCACCAACAGGUUGGGAUUGCACAAAGUUUCGGAGGAAAAACGCGAAAACUUGCAAGCAGCGGGCGUUGCCUAGUGCCUUAGCCAUUGUGUCUGCAGCCAUUCCAGCCAAAAACACUUGCCUCUCUGCCGGACUCGAUUGGCUGUCCUUUUCUCAUGGCCAAAACACUUUUGACAGGAUACCCCAGCUAUGACAGCCCAUCUUCUCUCUCAGUUGGUUUUAGAUAGUUGCAUUUCGUUGGAAACGGGUCGGACUCCGGCUGCCGGAUCGUCUUUCUGUCGGUUCAAGCCGAACUGAAAGAGCUGGAUUUAUGCGGCUGGAUUCUGUGGACGCGUGAUGAAGUUACGUCACCAGCGUCGACAUCAUCAUCUUCAUCAUGGAACCAGAAUCGCGAUACAUUGUACAGGUGUUUGUGGGCGCCCUGUCGCCCGAAUUCGAGGCCUUAUCGAUCGAAGCCCUCAAGGGCACGACGGCCGACGAGAUGGUCUGCUGCAUCGUCGACAAGCUGCAGCUUCCCCUGCCCGUCGAAUCUUAUGAGCUGGCCGAAGUGGUGGGCAAUGCCGUCGGACAGGAGUGCAAGGAGAGGAGACUGGCCUCUCACGAACUGCCGGUCGCCCUUAUGCUCCUCUGGCCCAAAGUCUCGUCGCCGGCCCAGGAGACCGCCUCCGCCCUGGCCGCACUGGCCGCCCACCGCAAGCUUCUCCAGCGAUCCAUUUCCAGGACGCUGGAAAGUCGUCCGAUCGAAGAGGAAGGAGCCGAUUCCGGGGCCGUGGCGCCGGAUGACUCGCAGCAGUCCGAGUAUCGGUUUUACCUGCGCGAGAAGCUCAACGACACGGUGUGGUCGGAGGCGCUGAACGCGGACCCGCAAGUGAUCCGGGACUACUUUUACCGGUUCCUGUACCAGCCGCGGGAUCGCGAAUACCCCGACCUGUGCCAGUUGCCCGACUUGAACGAGGAGACUCUGAUGGACAACCUGCGGGCCCGCUUCCAGGCCGGCCACAUCUACACCUACGUCGGCUCGAUCCUAAUCGCCGUCAACCCUUUCAAGUUCUACCCGAUUUACAACCCCAAGUACGUCAAACUCUACCAGAACCGGCGGCUGGGCGAGUUGCCUCCGCACAUUUUCGCCGUCGCCGACGCCGCCUACAACGCCAUGAUGCGCGAUCGGAAACCCCAGUGCAUCGUCAUCAGCGGUGAAUCCGGUUCGGGCAAGACGGAGUCGACCAACUUCCUGCUGCACCACUUGACGGCCUUAUCGCAAAAGGGAAGCCAAGGCUGCGGCGUAGAGCAGACCAUACUCAGCGCCGGGCCCGUCCUUGAAGCUUUUGGCAACGCCAAGACGUCGCACAACAACAACUCUAGCCGCUUCGGCAAGUUUAUCCAAGUCAACUAUCGCGAGAAUGGACAAGUUCACGGGGCCCUCGUGCAAAAGUAUCUGCUCGAGAAGACGAGGAUCUGCUUCCAGGCGAAGAAUGAGAGAAACUAUCACGUCUUUUAUCACUUGCUCGUCGGCUCCUCGGCCCAGGAGAAACAGGCCCUUCAUCUGCUACCCCCGGAAGCAUAUCGAUACUUGAAUCAGAGCGACUACCACAACCUGGACGAAGGUGACGAGUGCUACGAGCUGUCCAGGCUCAAACAGUCGAUGGAGUUUGUUGGCUUCUGCAGCGAGACCCAGCGGCGCAUCUUUUCCGUCCUGUCGGCCGUCCUGCACAUCGGCAAUCUCGAGUUCCAGCCGAAGAAAUCGACGUACAAUCACGACGAGUCGGUGACGGUCAAGAAUACGGCCGUCGUGGCCACCAUUGCCCAGCUGCUGAGAGUCAAGGAAGAGAUUCUGCACCAGGCGCUCAUCUCCAAACGUGCCAGAGCAUCCGGAGAGACGCUCGUCAUCAACUACCGUAUGCCAGAGGCGAUUGCGGCGCGGGAUGCUAUGGCCAAAUGCCUUUACGGCUCACUGUUUGACUGGAUCGUCAUGCAACUGAACCAUGCCCUGCUGGCCAAGAAAGACGUCGACAAAAUGCAGCGGGCCUACUCGAUUGGGGUCCUCGACAUCUUCGGCUUCGAAGAUUUCGGCCACAUGAACAGUUUCGAGCAGUUCUGCAUUAACUACGCCAACGAGCACCUGCAGUACUACUUCAACCAGCACGUUUUCAAGUACGAGCAGGAGGAGUACAAGCGCGAAGGCAUCCACUGGGUCAACAUCCAGUUUGUCGACAACACGGGCUGUCUCCAGCUCUACGAGUCAAAGCCCAACGGACUCCUUUGCAUCCUGGACGAUCAGUGCAAUUUCCCCGGCGCCACCAACGAGACGCUGUUGCAAAAGUUCAACUCAGUCAACAAGGAUAACGACUACUACGAAGUGCCACAGAAGCGGGAGGCCGCCUUCAUCGUCCGGCACUACGCUGGCAAGGUCAAGUACCAGUCGAACGAAUUCCGCGAGAAGAACCUCGACCUGAUGAAGGCUGACAUCGUCGCCGUCCUCAAGUCCAGCCAGUACGCCUUCGUCCGCGAAUUGGUCGGCGGCGAUCCCGUCGCCGUCUUCCGCUGGGCCAUUUUGCGCGCCUUUAUCCGCGCCUACUUUGCCUUUAUCGAGUCCGGCAAGCGACAUCGCGAUUUGACUUUGUCGGGCCAGGACAGCCUGACGGGCAAAGGGAAAGGUGGUGACAGCGCCCGGAAAAACCGGAUGUCCAAAGCGAGAAGCCGGCCGUCGAAGAAUUGGCGCAAUUUGGAAACGGUUCGAACGCUGGCCGGGCGGUUAGGUCACAGCAGCUCGUCGCUGAAUUCAUCCGCGGCCCCUUCGAACGUUUCCUCUUCGCACGAAAAGUUGACGGUGUCGGCGUCCGGCACAACCACAGUCACAAUCACGUCGGCCGGCAGCCACCAGUCGAUCCGCAGCGAGAGCCUUCUCGUUGUCCACAAGAACGUGAAAAAAGCCCAGACGGUCGGCGCCCAGUUCCAGCACUCGCUUCAGAGCCUCAUGGUGGCGUUGAACACGGCCAACCCGUUCUUUGUCCGCUGCAUCAAAAGCAACCGACUCAAGGGCCCCAACCAAUUUGACGAGGAGAUCGUCCUCCGCCAACUCCGCUAUACCGGCAUGCUGGAAACGGUUCGCAUCCGCCAAGCUGGUUUCAAUGUCCGAUUGACGUUUGAGGAAUUCAUUCACCACUAUCGAAUCCUUCUCCCACGUGGGUUGUUGAGUUCGCAAUCAGACGUGCACGAUUUCUUGUGUCGAAUGAAUCUCAAUGCGGAGCACUACCAAAUCGGCCACCAGAAGAUCUUUUUGCGCGAGUCGGAGAAAGCCAAACUCGACUACCGGCUGCACCAGGCCAUUUUGGCCAGCAUCGUCACCAUCCAGCGCUGGUUUCGCACUUGCCUGGAGCGGCGCAAUUUCCUCUCGCUUCGCAGGGCCGUCGUCCGGAUCCAGUCCUAUGUUCGAAUGAUCAAUGCCCAGCGCCAAGUGAUGAACCUGCGCGUCCGUCACAUGGCGGCCACCUUCAUCCAGAAAGUCUGGCGCGGAUAUCAGGUCCGCCAUUGGUACACGAACCUCCGCUGCUCGGUGGUGAGUUUCCAGUGCCGGGCGAGAGGAAAUCUGGCCCGGAGGCGGUUCGAGCAGAUGAAACAGCAAGGAGACGCCCACUCGGGCAAGAGCACCGACGAGGCCUUCCUGUCGAAAGGAUCGUCGCAGGAAGAGCUGGACAAGGAAACCAAGGAUCUGAUCGAACAACUCAGUUCGGAAGAGAGUAGCGGAAUCCAGGAGGACAGCGAAUCGGAACUGAUGUAUGCGGAACUGGCUUCCGGAAUUCUGUCGUGCGCCUUGAAUUUCCCGCUGCAGUCGACGGACGACAAACGGGAUGAUCUCAAACCGAAGAGGAGCAAGCCGUCGAUUGUGAUGGCCGCCGCCAGCAGCGCGGUGGGAGCGGCCGGACCCGUAGCCCAUUCGCCGCGGAUCGGCUCCAUCGAGGAGCUGAUCCGCGGGGCCGGCGAUUCCAGCCGGACGGAGAAGAGCGGGGCCCUGCACAAAGCCAAAAAGCAUUUGAAGACGCUGAUGGGCGGCGGAUCGAAGCGGGACAAGGGCGACGCCCUCCGCCAAAUGGCCGUCCAGGGCAGCGAGGAUCGCGACAGCGACUCUGAGAGCACCUUGGUCUCGGCUUCCCGCUCGACGUCGACGCUCAACUCGGCCUCGGACUUGGAGUACGACAUGAGGUACGCCAGGGAGCGCGAGGCCAGGCGGGAAGAACGAAGGAGGAUCAUCGCCGAAAGGCUGGCCAUCCGCAGCCGGGCCAACAGCAUUUCCGACGAGUCGCACUCGCCCACUUGUCCCAAUCCGGUGCUCUGUCGGCGCUACAGCCGCGAUAUCGAAGCGGCCUCCUCGUCCAUCUACGGCUACGGACACUCGCACGGCCACGUUCACCACAGUCACUGCUGGACCUACAGUCACGCUGUCACCAGCCAUUUGCCCAUAGCGAGGAGAGGCAGCAAAGAUGGCGGGCGCAGCGUCAGCGUGGACGGAUCGUGGCGAGGCAGCCGUGACAGCCUGCGCGAGAGAGCGGCCGGCGGAGCAGCUGGCGGGAUGACGGCCUCGCCGCUGGCCCGGCGUCAAGACAGGGACAGCAGCCAAGCGUCGGUGGCCGUGUCGGUGACGUCGUCCACCUCGUCGUCGACGGCCACGGUCCGUUCCAGUUUGAGUCAAGUCCACAAGCUGACGCGGAUGAGCAAGCUGGCCAAGAACGAGGCCUGCUCGCUCUGCUCAAAGACGAUGAGCUCCUUCUUCACCCACGGCUACAAAUGCACGUCCUGUCACUUGGUGUUCCAUGCCAAAUGCGUCCAGCAAGGCAUCACGUCCACUCAGGCUCUACCACCCACAGUCCUAGAAUGUGCGCGCCCUUCGGCCAGUCCGACCCAUCCGGAACCGGAUCCUGUCCAUAAAAUCCGCAAGGGUAGCCGUGAGACGGUCGACAGUUCGCCGGGCGUGAUUCCGCUGGGCGGCAACAACGAGAGUUCCAAGUGGAACCUGACGGGCACCAGCGAAUUUACCGAUUCGACUCAAGAAGUGGUCAACGGCGGCCAACAGCUGCACAGGCUGGACGAGUUUAUCGGCCACAAAAUCCAGAACCUGGUCGAUGACACUCGCGGUGACGCCGACCGAGUUUUCCUCUCGGCUUUACGUGAACUCAGAGGAUCUCUCAUAUCGGCUUACGGAGUAGCCUCCUGUCACGGUGGGGCUGAAGAGAAUCCGGCCAUUCGAUUGACGUACCGCGACCUGAUCGCCAAUUUCGGCAAGAUCGUCGAGUCCGUCUCGCGCGACGACACCAAAUUCCCCAAGACGCUGGUGGUCAACGCCUUCCGUGGCUAUCUCAAUGAAUUCGUGGUCCAGCAGAGGGUCGACGACAAGGAAAACAGAGCCAAAGGAGGUAAAAGGAGAAAGGAGCGAUGGAAGAAACCGACAGCCGACAAGAGCCAGCGGGGCCGAGAUCGGGAAACGAAACGGGCCAAGGGCCACGACGACGCGGCCCUGCGUCACAUGGGCCACGAGUUCACGACGCUCAACAGCGUCAUCACCAUCCCGACGGCCUGCGAAGUCUGCUCCUCCUUCACCUGGCUCAAGGAGAAGGGCCUGGUGUGUCAGAGCUGCAAGUUCACCUGUCACAAGAAAUGCUACACUCGAAUCACCACGGCCUGCACGGCCUCGUCGGCCACACCUUCGGCGACGGGGCCCGGCUCGGUUGGCGGAGCUUCAUCCACGUCGGCCACCAUCAGCAUCGGCGGCCUGCCCAACCAAGCGACCGAGUCGUCUGGAAGUCUCUUUGGCGUCACCCUGGACAAGUUGGUGGGCCUUGGCGGCGGCGCCGGAUCUCAGCAGCGCCUCCCGCCCAUCAUCGAGAGGCUCAUCUCGACUAUUGAACUGGUCGGACUCUACACGGAGGGUCUCUACCGCAAGUCGGGCGUCUCCUCGCGCGUCCAGCAGCUCAAGAAACUGCUGGAGGAGGAAUCGUCGUCCAGCAAGGAAGGAGCGGCCAGUCUGGUCGACUUGCAGGAGCAGCCCAUCCACGUUCUGACGGCCGUCCUCAAAGCCUUUCUGCGCGAGCUGCCGCAGCCGCUGCUGACGUACGAGCGCUACGACGACUUUCUGCGGGCCGCCGACAUUGUCGACGCCAAGGAGCGCAUCUCCUCACUGAUGGCCCUCGUCCAGGAACUGCCUCCGCACCACUUUGACCUCCUAGAGCGGCUUGUCUUUCAUUUGACUCGGGUGGCGCUCAACGAGAAGUCGAACCGGAUGGGCCCCAACGCCCUGUCGAUCGUCUUCGCCCCGUGCAUCCUGCGGACGUCCAAGAUCCAGCAGGCCCAGGACUCGCUCUCCAACGUCAGCAAGCAAACGUCGGUGGUGGAGACGAUCCUGACGGAGCAACUGCGCCGCGUCACGGAAACGCUGGCCGACAUCGACUCGCUCGAUUCGGUCUGCCUGGCCUACGUCGCCCGCCUGGGCACGUUGCGCUCCUCGAAAAUGUUCCCGUCGACGACGGCCGUCGGCACCUGGGUCCUGCCCCAAUCGGACGCCUCGUCGACGACGGACAGUGCCGGCGGCCCUGCGGCCAAAAACCCGCACCACCGCAUCUUCCCGACCAUUUCGGCUCCGGCCUCUUCGUCGUCUUCGCUCUCGUCUCUCUCGGCCCGCGAUCAAGUCACCGAGGAGCGGAUGAUCCAGGAGCAUUUGGAUGAGCUCCGCGAAGAGAAGGCCGCCCUGGCCGCCACUCUGCCGUCGCUGGCCCGGGCCGCCAGCGACGACGACCUUCUCUCGACUGACGGCGACUUGGACGACCAGGACAGUCCCAUCGGCGGCAGCGUCGACGACCUGCCGGCCAGCAGUCAAUCGCGUUCCGAUUCGCGUCCAAGAGCCGCUGAUUUGUAGACUCGCACACACACAAAAGUCUUCCCCCCUUGUGUCUGAGUAAUAGGCAAAAAUGGGUUUCUUCCUUCGCGCCUACAUCGGCGCAUUUCAUUGGACUAUGAGGAGGAGGAGGAGGAGGAUGACGGCGAUUUGGAGUUUAUCGACGCCUCCUACCCGAAACGGGCGUCUUUGCCUUUCGUCUCGCCAUUACCGCUCCGUUGCAAAGCUGUCCAGCGUCAGCUGUCAGUCGAC